Long non-coding RNA from Dreissena polymorpha, 374 nucleotides. RefSeq lists it as uncharacterized. The transcript is spliced from 2 exons. The record is from RefSeq and is a predicted model, not a curated record. Lineage: Eukaryota; Metazoa; Mollusca; Bivalvia; Myida; Dreissenidae.
CACAAAACAUACGCUGUGGUUAAAUGGUCAUUGACUGACCGUUUUUAAUAUGUAACAAAAGUUCCAAAACAUAUAACAAUAUAUACACCAAUAUAAAUAACGUAUGACAAAAGGAGAUCAAACAAUAAUGUAAUUUGGUAAAAUGUGGAGGUUUCUUUAGAAAAUGGCAUUCAUUAGAUAUGUAAAGUACAUGGAUUUCUUUAGAAAAGACCUCAAUGGCGUGCUCUGUAAGGCUUCUUUUGACAAUGGCAGUAAAAGAUACAAUACGUUUCCUUAGAAAUGGCACCAUAGCAACUCACUUGUCAUAACAUAGCAUAAAAAUCAUAGCGAAACAGUGUUAUUAUUUCAGUCAAUUAGAAGCGCAACAUACAAAA